UUCAACUCCCUCUUAGAGGCCGGAGUCAUUGUUCCAUGUCCUGACUCGCCGACUCAGCUGUUCUGUGUUCCGGCCCUCUUCCAUGUCACCUGUCACGGCUGUCACCGUUGUCUGUAUUUUUCUGUCUUGUCUUGCCUGUACCAAGUAGGCUGUGCGGCCCUGUGGACUGAAGCCCCGCCUACUUCCUGGUUUCGGUGGAGCUCUGUCAGGCUCACUACAGGUCCACCCAUUGGUCCACCCUGUCCCAGCGCAUCCAAUGGCAUGUCGCCACCUCAGCCUUACCACCAGCUCUUAAGGAGAGCCCACCAGUGGCUCGGGGCAGCUCGUCAUGGCAGGUUGACUUGUGUGCCUUCUGUGUUUGUAUUUGAGUGCAACUGAGUCAAGUACUGUGUUUUGGUUCUUGUGUGUUUUUACCAGCACGGGGCUGGCAAAAAGGGGGGAGUUAGGGUAAGAGUCGGUACUGAUUCACCACACGUAGUUUUGUGCCUGUUAGCUUCAUAGGUGUAGUGGGUGCUGUGCUCUUUGUGUUUUUUGGUAAGCGCCUACUGUUUGUUUAAAUAUAAUAUUCAGGCAUAGUCCUCCUUUUGGGGAUCUCUUUUAUUUAACUUGGUUUGACUUUUUCACAGCACCCUUAUCCACUCUCCUUUUGUUUGUUGUUACCUGCCUGUCUACCUCUGGUUGCAAAUAAACACUACCUUUUUACAACCGACCAGGUUCUGCCCAUAUGUUUAUGGUCCCCUCACCCCUAGACCACCCGGGGGUUGUAACAUAUAUGGGGGCUCGUCCGGGAUCCCUUUCUAGAGGAAUCCCAAUUGGCAGAGAUUGGUCGCGUAGUCAAUUUGUGUGACUAGCCGGAGCGGAGUACGGUAAUGAGGUGCCGCUUGCCUGAGUGAGGGACUCAUGGCUGCUGCCCAGUUUGACCUUGAAGCUUUCCUAAGCCAGCCCUCAGUGGAGCAGUUUAAUGUGUGUCGGAAAGAUGAUUUGCUCCAGUUAGCAGCCCACUUUGGCAUCUCGGUUCCCAAAACUAUUCUUAAAAGGGUGUUAAAACCUAUGCUAUCGUUAGCAUUAGUCAAGAGGGGGAUAAUUGUAGUGCCAGAGCUGCCAGAGAAAGAGCUCAUGUUGCUGGUUCAGAUGCCAAAGGGGAGGUCACGCCUACCCCUGACCAUGCUACAGACGUAUCGGAUACCGACAGAGCAGGUGAGAGGCCUGCGACUCCUCUCACCCUGCCCAGGUUUGAUCCUUCCUCUGUUAGUAGUGCUCAAACGCUAGGAGGAGCGCGGCUAAAGGUUCGCCUUGCCCGCCUCCAGUAUGACGCACAAGACAGGGAACGCCAGAUGCAUUUCCAACUCGAAGUACGGCGAAUGGAGAUUGAGGCUGACCAGGCGGUGCGCCUGCGGACACUAGAGCUCGAGAGCGCCAACGCAGCCAUGGCUGGUGGGGCCGUGGGUUCUGGUGGUACAGCUUCUCUCCCCCACUCAUCCAAAUUGGACUCGGUAAGUCCAGGAUUUGAUGCAAAAAUAUUGCUUUAGUACCUUUCUUCCGAGAAGCUGAAGUGGACUCGUACUUUCAGGUUUUUGAGCGAAUAGCCUUGGCAUUAAAAUGGCCGUCUGAGGUCUGGUCUUUAUUGUUGCAGUGCAAGCUACAAGGCAAAGCAGAGGAGGCUAUCGCUUCCCUUUCUGUAGAGGAUAGUACAGACUAUGAGACAGUGAAAUCAGCAAUCUUGCGAAUUUAUGAGCUUGUGCCCGAAGCUUACCGACAAAAGUUCCGGUCACAUAAGAAACCAGCAACGUUACACAGAGUUUGCCCGAGAGAAACCAUACUCUUUGACCGGUGGCUUGAGUCAUCUAGUGUAGCUGGGUUCACUUAGGGAACUUUGCUUAGUAGAGGAGCUUAAAGCUUAAAUGAGCUUAAAUGAACAAAAAGUGUUAACGUUAUCUGCUGCAGCUACGUUAGCGGAUGAGUACAUGCUAAUCCACAAACCAGCCUUUCCUCAGGUUGUAGACAGUGCCCGCCGCGGAAAUCUAAACCAGUCUAAUCCUCCUAGGCACCCCAGUCUGAAGGAAGAAGAGUGCCGUUGUUUUUAUUGUCAUAAGAGUGGACAUGUUAUUGCUGAUUGUAUGACUUUGAAACGCAAAGAUCAGCUGUCAUCGCAUGUGCAUCAGCCCAAAGGUGUCGGGUUAAAUAACGAUUUGCGAAGCCCUAAACUAAACUGUGACAACCAAAGUGAGGUUGAUUCCUGUUUUUGCCCAUUUGUACUCGAAGCCCUUAUUUCACUGACAGGAUUGCCAGCAGACCAGCAGUCUGGUAAAGUGCUACGAGACACCGCCUGUUCCCAAUCAGUGGUGUUGGCUUCUGCGUUACCCUUUUCAGCUGAAUCCACUUGUGGAUUCGCGUCCGUCUUAAGAGGCAUUGAAAUGGGAUAUGUGCCUCGGCCUGUGCAUAAGGUACAAAUCUAGUCUGAUCUCGUCAAUGGGUUUUUCCCAGUAGCAGUGUGUGAUGAACUUCCCAUACAGGGUAUUGUGCUGCUCCUGGGAAAUGACAUAGCCGGGGGUAAUGUUACUCCAACUUUGGAAGUGUGCGAUGUACCAAGGGUUCCUGGCUGCAGCACAGAGUUACCCAAAGUAUUUCCGGCCUGUGUCGUCACUCGUGCGCAGGCACGCCAGUUGGCGUUCGAGUCGGAUAUUUCGCUAGCUGAUACAGUGUUUUGUGAGCCUUUUCAGACCGCUGAUCCAACUCCAGUGAAGGAGCCAGCGUUGGUGGAGUGCGAGACCGAAACGUCCCCUUCCUCCCCACCACUGCCAGCUACAAGAGAACGCUUGGCCGUGGCUCAGAGAGAGGAUCCAACCUUACGGGCCUGCUUCAGGAAUGUGAAAACAGGUUGUAGCUGCACUUCCGAGAGAAGCAACGGGUCCACUACACCGAC
This is a non-coding RNA of Gasterosteus aculeatus aculeatus (three-spined stickleback), 2923 nucleotides long. NCBI's taxonomy places the organism in Eukaryota, Metazoa, Chordata, Actinopteri, Perciformes, Gasterosteidae. The record is from RefSeq and is a predicted model, not a curated record.